GGUAUUUUAGGAUAAGAAAAGUCUUUAGUAUUCAUUAUUCUAAGGUUGAAAUACUU
RNAcentral lists this transfer RNA (56 nucleotides) under Globodera rostochiensis. RNAcentral's name for it is "tRNA-Met". RNAcentral also lists the same sequence under 1 other name. The record is from RNAcentral. Lineage: Eukaryota; Metazoa; Nematoda; Chromadorea; Rhabditida; Heteroderidae.